Molecule: ribosomal RNA, 791 nt
Filed under: Bdellovibrio sp. HNCL
Lineage: Bacteria; Pseudomonadati; Bdellovibrionota; Bdellovibrionia; Bdellovibrionales; Pseudobdellovibrionaceae
Description: bacterial SSU rRNA
Rfam family: Bacterial small subunit ribosomal RNA
Source: RNAcentral
CAGGCCUAACACAUGCAAGUCGAACGGGGAAAGCUUUCGGGUGAGUACUAGUGGCGCACGGGUGAGGAACGCGUGGAUAAUCUGCCUUAGAGUGGGGGAUAACUAGUCGAAAGAUUAGCUAAUACCGCAUAAGACCACAGGAGCUGCGGCUCAAGGGGUCAAAGGUUUUUCGCUCUAAGAUGAGUCCGCGUAAGAUUAGCUAGUUGGUGAGGUAACGGCUCACCAAGGCGACGAUCUUUAACUGGUCUGAGAGGAUGAUCAGUCACACUGGAACUGAGACACGGUCCAGACUCCUACGGGAGGCAGCAGUAGGGAAUAUUGCACAAUGGAGGAAACUCUGAUGCAGCGACGCCGCGUGAGUGAUGAAGGCCUUCGGGUCGUAAAGCUCUGUCGCAGGGGAAUAACACAAUGAAUGUACCCUGUAAGAAAGGAUCGGCUAACUUCGUGCCAGCAGCCGCGGUAAGACGAGGGAUCCUAGCGUUGUUCGGAAUUAUUGGGCGUAAAGCGGAUGUAGGUGGCUUUGUAAGUCAGAUGUGAAAGCCCAGGGCUCAACCCUGGAAGUGCAUUUGAUACUGCGAAGCUUGAGUGUCGGAGAGGUUACUAGAAUUGUUGGUGUAGUGGUGAAAUACGUAGAUAUCAACAGGAAUACCGGAGGCGAAGGCGGGUAACUGGCCGAACACUGACACUGAGAUCCGAAAGCGUGGGGAUCAAAACAGGAUUAGAUACCCUGGUAGUCCACGCCGUAAACGAUGGAUACUUGUUUGUUGGAGGUAUUGACCCCUUCAGUGACG